GCCUGGGUGGCACAGUGGUUGAGCAUCUGCCUUCGGCUCAGGGCAUGGUCCCAGCAUUGUGGGAUCGAACCCCACAUCAGGCU
This 83-nucleotide transfer RNA is filed under the name Ailuropoda melanoleuca (giant panda). It matches the Rfam family "tRNA". From Rfam's summary of the family: Transfer RNA (tRNA) molecules are approximately 80 nucleotides in length. Their secondary structure includes four short double-helical elements and three loops (D, anti-codon, and T loops). The record is from Rfam by way of RNAcentral. Lineage: Eukaryota; Metazoa; Chordata; Mammalia; Carnivora; Ursidae.